Long non-coding RNA from Nerophis ophidion (straightnose pipefish), 3530 nucleotides. RefSeq lists it as uncharacterized. The record is from RefSeq and is a predicted model, not a curated record. NCBI's taxonomy places the organism in Eukaryota, Metazoa, Chordata, Actinopteri, Syngnathiformes, Syngnathidae. The transcript has 4 exons.
GCCCACAAUGCUCCUCCUACCUGCCAAUACCGCCAUCACAUUUAGGAGGCAGACUACUGAAACAGUGUUUUUCAGGAACUUUCCGGAUUUCCUGCCUGCUAGCUGAAAUGGACCAAAAGGAAUCGCUUGACCCUCACGAAUUCAUCAUUUACCGAGAGGACGACUUUCUGACUGUUGGACAUUGCGGGAUCGCAGGGGGUGCUGGAGCCUAUCAUAGCUGUAAUCAGGCGGAAGGCGCUACAACCGGGCGGAAGACGGUGUACACCCUGGACAAGUCGCCAUCUCAUUGCAGAGCUGACACAGAUAGAAAGACAACAAUCACACUCACAUUCACACACUCGGGCCACUUUAGUGUUGCCAAUCAACCUAUUCCCAGGUGUAUGUCUUUGGAUGUGGGAGGAAGCCGGAAUCACGGGGAGAACAUGCAAACUCCACACACUUUUAUAUUUAAUUUACUUAGACUUUACUAAAAUAACUGUUACCUAAUGUCUGUUUAUUUAAGUGAUAUCAGUGUAAAAACAUACUUAAACACUCCUCCAUACUACCCUGAACUGUGAAAUGCGGUGGAAACACAAUCCAUAAUUGGAGUGCAGUUUGUUAAAUGGAAAUGUGAAUGCUAUUCGAAUGUAUGGUGAAGAACUCGGGGUCAUAUUGCUAUUCUUGUAUUCUUUUUGCAAAUGUGUUGAGGGGAUAUUUCAGUGAGACUGAUCUAAAUCCAAAGUGAAGUCAAAGAGCCCAGAGAAUAAGCUCCGUUAUUGAUCUGUAGUUCCUGCACAACGUCUUUGCUCCCCUCCAGUUAAUCCACAGGGUCAGCUCUAAUGACAUUGAGGAGCUCUGCCGCCAGUCUACCAUUUGCAAUUUAGAUGCUGGGUGGGGAGACAAUAUGUGGGUAAUAAUGUGCAGGGAAAGUCAAGUAGAAUGAGAGCACGGUCCUAACACCAAAAUGCUAGCACAAAUUAAUGUUGUGCUUUAACAGUCUGCCAUAAUUCCCAGGUUCGUCCCUCAGUUUUAAGAUCAGGGUUUCUUUUAUUUUGUCAGCCUAGAUUUUCAUAUUUAAGGGAGGUGCAUUUCCUGUGCCUCACUUCAAAUGUUGGAAAUCGUUUCACAGCUGUACCGAAAUGAGAUAAAUUCCAAAUACGAGUACGUGUGAUGUUAUACCCCGAGCAUUAACAACUGACAGUGACUGUUUUUGAAAGGAGAUGUUGUCCGUCUUUGUGAUAAAUCUGCGAAGAAGGGGUUAAGGACUAAUUUUGUGCUGUUGUAUUUUGUAUUUUUUUGCACCCACCAGAAGAAUUCCUGUGGCAAAACAGGAAGCCACAGGGGUAACAAUUACCAGCUUUAAUCUUGUGCAGAUCCUCUGAUAGCUUUCUGCACCACAAACAAUGGUCUUCAAGCCUGAGGUGGCUCUGAAUGUUGCUGAAAGAUGUGACAACCAGGCACAACUGAUCUGUCUGUUUUGUCGGGAAGGUGUGGUCAUUUGAAAUUCUUUUGCCGCAACAAGAUGCUUUUGUUUAUGUACAUCAAGACCACAGCAACCCAGCUGGCCUUUUUUAUAUUUUACAACCCGUGUCUUCUGCCUUCACAUCUGAUCUGCAUAUAUCCAGACUUUUAAAAAACAUAACCUUUGUCUGUUUUGAAUGUGUUGGUGGAAAACUAUACAUUACAAUAACAGUCUAUACAAUACCCAGAAUAAAAUUACCGAAUUUAAGUUGGAGCCUUGCGGGGUCUUCGACAAAGGAGUUCAAAAAUAAUCUGAGUUGUAAACCUGAAGUGUGAUUUGAUUGACCCAAAGAUGGGAAACUCUGUGUUUCGAGUUCCAGCUGAUCUGAGUUAGUUCAAUCAAUUCUGAGUAAAACGACUCUUGAGUUAAGACUACAGUAAAAAACAUGAUUAUUGGAGCGCUGAUUCUACGAUUUGCGAUAAUAGCUGGUGACAAAAAAGGCUGAUUUUCUUUAACCAGCUGGGACUGAAAGGGUUAAUAUAUGUUUUUAGUGAGUAUGUACAUUUUUAGAAAUAAUAAUAAUACCUUUUUUAUUAUGUAGAUAUUUUUGUGAGACUGUGCACAAAACCUACACACACGCGCGUUUAUGACCUCCUAAUCUAGAGCCAUAGGGCUUAAUGUCAGUGUUCUCCGCUUUGGCAGCUACCGUAUAUUUGCUUUUAUUCUUCUUGGAAGACUUUGUUGAAUUUUAGUGUGUCUAAAUGAAUUUCUCAUUAUGAAGAACAUUUGUGAUGUCACCGAGGUUAAAUGAGAAGAUUAUCUCAAAGGUGUUUGAUGGGGGUUGAGGUCAGCGCUUUCAAAUACUAUAUUGACCUGAAUAUGAGUCUGAAAAAAAUGGCUUGUAUCAUAUUCGGGGUUUAGAGAUUUACGGUAAAUCCCCGCUAUCUACGGAGUUUGCGUUCCAAGAUGACCCAGUAAAUAGCGAAAAACUGAACAAAUAGAUGUACUUAUAAAAAGUCCUGUCUUUGAUUCUCUAAAUCAGGGGUGUCAAACUUAUGGCCCGAGAGAUGAUUUGAAAUGAGUUGAAAUUUUUGAAUGAAAGAAACUGCUGUUCUCAAUGUGUCCACUGAAGGUCACAAUAGGAAUUUUUUGUAUCCCCUGCCGCAAGAGCGCGCAUGACUUCACAGGAGGCAUAGCUAUGUGCCCGGUUAAGGUAGAGGACUGGGGGCCCAUUAUCUGUGUGCACCUAAAUAUACUGAAAUAAUAUGAUUCCCCUUCUAACUUCAUGUGUGAUGAAUGAAAUGAGUCCAAAUUCACAAGUUUUGUUGUGGAUGAUGCAGUUCAUCAGUUGAGGAAAAUGAGUAAACUACAAUAAUAACACCCCGUAAUUUAUUUUGAUAUUAUUAUUUAUUUCAUCUUCUGAUUGAUUAAAAAUGAACACCAAUGGGAACAUUUUAAAACUCUGCCAGACUCAAUUCCACGUAUUUGACUGAUGAAUAUUAUCACAUAAUUUAUUCAGAAAGUAUAAAUCAAUACAAAUGAAAAUAGACUACUAUUAACAGCCACAUGUAAGUUUAAAAAAACACAGUAAGUUGUCUUUAUUUUUAAGUUAUCAUGCCGUGAUUUUACCAGUGCGGCCCAUUUGGGAAUAGAUUUUCCUGUGUGACCCCAGACGUAAAAUGAGCUUGACACCUUGUGAUAUGCCUUUCUUGGUUAUGACACAAAUGUUAUAUUAAGUUUUACAUAAUAAAAACAAUUACAGGCAGAGUAUACCAGUUUUGGUGGCGAGGUUCAUGGCUUUUGAGGCAUUGACUCCCUUAGUUAUUUUUUUUAAUGUCAAAAUAAAAAUUUAAAUUACUGUUUUAAUUGAUUUUACCCUUUAAAAUUGCUUUUAAUCAUAUUUGUUUUUACAUUGUUUUUUUUUAUAUUGGUUUUAUAUUUUUGUUUUUUUUUUGUUUUUAUUCAGUCAUUGGUGGAGCAUAAUAUUGUUUUUUUAAUGUUGUUUUUAACAUGGCUGUGCAGCACUUUGGAAACGUUAUUGUUGUUUAAAUGUGCUAUAUAAAUAAAGUGGAUUGGAUUGGAUUGAAAA